RNAcentral lists this unclassified non-coding RNA (1016 nucleotides) under Hevea brasiliensis (rubber tree). Lineage: Eukaryota; Viridiplantae; Streptophyta; Magnoliopsida; Malpighiales; Euphorbiaceae. The record is from RNAcentral.
GGGAGCAAAAUCUUGUUGCUUGGGUAAGAGACCCUGCCUUUGUUGAUGCUUUCACAUUGUCCUUGAGAAAUAAGUUUAAGAAUCCUGUUUGUUUUUCCUGGGAUCUUUGCCCAUAUCAUUGUUUGCUUUGUGUGAUAUAUCAUUUCAUGAGUCAGCACAUUCAGUGAAAUGUCAUGGUGAGUGGUGUAAAAUUUCCCUAAAUAGUGUCACUCGCUGAAGAGGAUGAUCUGGUGAUAGAGUUUUCCUGAUAAAUAAAGAUAGGAAUCCAGUAGUGCUUUGUAAUUGCAGGUAUGUGGUUUUGUAACAUCAACACACGAGUCAUGUGGUGCUACCUCUUAAUGGGAUAAUCAGUAGAAUCUACCACCCUUCCAACUCGCAUUUUCACCAGCUUCAGUCCAAACCUGAGAUUGAGCUUCAUGAGUAGUCUGAUAGGCUUUCAUACCAAAUCUAGGAAUUUGGCUAGGUAGAAUAGGAGGAACAGCUUCAAACACACAACUUAGGCUAGAGACAAUGGGGUUGUAAGUCAAUUAUGUGUAUAUAGUCCUCUAUUGCUUCAUAUUUGCCUGAAGUCAUAAUUUAUUGCCUAAUCACUUGCGCUUUGAGUUUCCACAGGAAGCCGGGGCAGAACUACGUUAUGAAGUAAAGGAGCCUAGGCCCUAGGCCCCCCAAAAGUGUUUAAAAUUAAAUGUUUGCCUAUAAAUUUUACUUUUUUUUAAUAUAUAUGUAUAUAUUGUUUAGCUCUUUAAUACUUUCAUAGCUUUGAUUUAGCCCCUACACUUCUAUAUAAAUUUCAUUCAGGUUCUUUAUAUUAUUAUUUCACAUUUUUAUUUUGGCCCUAUAUUUUAUCAAGAUUUCAUUCAUUUUCUUUUAACGUUCAUCCACCCCCCUCUCCCCCACCACCCACCCACCCCCCCACCACACCCCCCCCUCCCAACACCAGAAAAGAUGAAUUUCUAGUUCCGCCCUUGACAGGAAAUGUAUGAUAUAUAGCUAGAAUGUGCAUUUGUUUUAGGUAG